GACGAACGCUCGCGGCGUGCUUAACACAUGCAAGUCGAACGGGCCUUGUCCCCUUUUUUUUUGGGGGUGGGGUUAGUGGCGAACGGGUGAGUAACACGUGAGUAACCUGCCCCUCACUUCUGGAUAACCGCUUGAAAGGGUGGCUAAUACGGGGUGUUCUGGCCUGCUCGCAUGGGUGGGUUUGGAAAGAUUCGACCGGUUUUGGUUGUUUUGGUGGGGGAUGGGCUCGCGGCCUAUCAGCUUGUUGGUGGGGUGAUGGCCUGGCAAGGCUUGGACGGGUAGCCGGCCUGGGAGGGGUAGCGGGCACACUGGGACGGCGACACGGCCUAGACUCCUACGGGGGGCAGCAGUGGGGAGUAUUGCACAAUGGGCGCAAGCCUGAUGCAGCGACGCCGCGUGAGGGAUGGAGGCCGUCGGGUUGUGAACCUCUUUCGCCAGUGAAGAAGGUCCUGCUCUUUGUGGUGGGGUUGACGGUAGCUGGGUUAAUGAAGCGCCGGCUAACUACGUG
RNAcentral lists this ribosomal RNA (508 nucleotides) under uncultured bacterium. RNAcentral's name for it is "partial 16S ribosomal RNA". It matches the Rfam family "Bacterial small subunit ribosomal RNA", at positions 28 to 507 of the family's 1533-position model. The record is from RNAcentral.